GAGACCCAGCUUUGAGACAGAAAUGGCCUCAGAGCUGAGCUCACGUGCUUCUAACCACUUUGAAAACACUCAUCAGGUUGAAGAAGGCCACAAAGUCCUCACCAGAACUCCACUGGGGGCCCCCCAGGGCUCAUCUGGAGCUCCUCCCGGGCCCCUCUGAGGCCUGAGCUUAGAGGGUCCCGCUGCAGAGCCCUCGCCUCCCACACUCCGCUCGGGACUGGAGACGUGGGGUGGGGGUCGGGGGCCUCUGAGCUGCAGCCCCUCACCAGGUAGCUGUCUGUGAUGCUGACGGACAAACAGAAAGACAUUCAGACCCCGAGGAGGCCCUGGGAGCCGCUGACUAACUGCUGAGUCUACUCUGUGGAAUCCGGGGAGGCCCAGGGCACUACAGCCGUUUUCUACAAGGCAUCUUCCCGACCCAGGGAUGGAACCCGCGUCUCCUGCCUUGGUCGGCGGUUCUUUACCACCUGAGCCGCCAGGGCAUCUUCCUGACCCAGGGAUGGAACCCGCGUCUCCUGCCUUGCUCGGCGGUUCUUUACCAUCUGAGCCGCCAGGGAAGCCUGGUGAUUAGUCGUUGUUGCUGCUCAGUCACUCAGUUGUGUCCGACCCUUUGCGGCUCUGUGGACCACAGCCCACCAAGCUUCCCUGUCCUCUGCUGUCUCCCGGUGUUUGCUCAAACUCAUGUCCAUCAUGUGAUAGGUAGAUUAGGUAAAUUCUUUGCUCGGUUUCAGAACAGGAAGCGUGGAAAGUGUGCCUGAAGACUAAAUAGAGAAGUUCAGUACAAA
Long non-coding RNA from Bos taurus (domestic cattle), 785 nucleotides. NCBI's taxonomy places the organism in Eukaryota, Metazoa, Chordata, Mammalia, Artiodactyla, Bovidae. The record is from Ensembl.